RNAcentral lists this ribosomal RNA (467 nucleotides) under uncultured bacterium. RNAcentral's name for it is "bacterial SSU rRNA". It matches the Rfam family "Bacterial small subunit ribosomal RNA", at positions 329 to 793 of the family's 1533-position model. The record is from RNAcentral.
UUCCAGACUCCUACGGGAGGCAGCAGUGAGGAAUAUUGGUCAAUGGGCGGGAGCCUGAACCAGCCAAGUCGCGUGAGGGAAGACGGUCCUAUGGAUUGUAAACCUCUUUUGUCGGGGAGCAAAGAGGCCUCGUGAGGUCAAAAGCGAGAGUACCCGAAGAAAAAGCAUCGGCUAACUCCGUGCCAGCAGCCGCGGUAAUACGGAGGAUGCGAGCGUUAUCCGGAUUUAUUGGGUUUAAAGGGUGCGUAGGCGGGACGGUAAGUCAGCGGUAAAAAUGCGGAGCUCAACUCCGUCGAGCCGUUGAAACUGGCAGUCUCGAGUUGGAGAGAAGUAUGCGGAAUGCGCGGUGUAGCGGUGAAAUGCAUAGAUAUCGCGCAGAACUCCGAUUGCGAAGGCAGCAUGCCGGCUCCACACUGACGCUGAGGCACGAAAGCGUGGGUAUCGAACAGGAUUAGAUACCCGAGUAA